AUACGGAGGGUGCAAGCGUUAAUCGGAAUUACUGGGCGUAAAGCGUGCGCAGGCGGUUUGUUAAGUCAGAUGUGAAAGCCCCGGGCUCAACCUGGGAACUGCAUUUGAAACUGGCAAACUAGAGUGUGGUAGAGGGAAGUGGAAUUCCUCAUGUAGCGGUGAAAUGCGUAGAUAUGAGGAGGAACACCAGUGGCGAAGGCGACUUCCUGGACCAACACUGACGCUCAUGUACGAAAGCGUGGGUAGCAACCAGGAUUAGAAACCCCGGUAGUCC
This 274-nucleotide ribosomal RNA is filed under the name uncultured bacterium. RNAcentral's name for it is "partial 16S ribosomal RNA". It matches the Rfam family "Bacterial small subunit ribosomal RNA", at positions 523 to 796 of the family's 1533-position model. The record is from RNAcentral.